This 32-nucleotide non-coding RNA is filed under the name Mus musculus (house mouse). The record is from RNAcentral. Lineage: Eukaryota; Metazoa; Chordata; Mammalia; Rodentia; Muridae.
UGUGGCCAGGCCACACUGGGAAGUGGAACAGG